RNAcentral lists this ribosomal RNA (253 nucleotides) under uncultured bacterium. RNAcentral's name for it is "partial 16S ribosomal RNA". It matches the Rfam family "Bacterial small subunit ribosomal RNA", at positions 524 to 776 of the family's 1533-position model. The record is from RNAcentral.
UACGUAGGGGCCGAGCGUUGUCCGGAAUCACUGGGCGUAAAGCGCACGUAGGCGGCUUUUUAAGUCAGGGGUGAAAUCCUGGAGCUCAACUCCAGAACUGCCUUUGAUACUGAGAAGCUUGAGUCCGGGAGAGGUGAGUGGAACUGCGAGUGUAGAGGUGAAAUUCGUAGAUAUUCGCAAGAACACCAGUGGCGAAGGCGGCUCACUGGCCCGGUACUGACGCUGAGGUGCGAAAGCGUGGGGAGCAAACAGG